CCUUGAAGAGGGUUCAUCAACUCAAAGCCACAAAAAUUAACAAACGCAGAUGCAGCAAGGUAAGGUACCAGUAAGUGCCAGAUUUUAGGCAGCGGAACAAAAAAAGCUGAAAGUUAUGAGAUACUCUAUAUCUAGCUUAAGAGAUACCUAAUUCUUACCUAGAUGUUAUAGCUUGCAACUCGUCCGCAAUGUUCUAAACUACAAAUUACAAAGUUUUAAUACUACA
Long non-coding RNA from Photinus pyralis (common eastern firefly), 226 nucleotides. RefSeq lists it as uncharacterized. The record is from RefSeq and is a predicted model, not a curated record. The transcript has 2 exons. NCBI's taxonomy places the organism in Eukaryota, Metazoa, Arthropoda, Insecta, Coleoptera, Lampyridae.